ACAUGUGAGGAUGAUCUGGCUGUGACACCUGUCACCCCACUGAUCUCCAGAGUUGAUUCGGCUGAUCAGGCUGGCUGGGCAGGUGUCCCCUUUCUCCCUCACCACUCCGCAUGCAUUCCUCCCGAAACUGCACACUUGGUCAAAGAGGAAGACCUUUCCUGAUAGAGGAGGACCAUUCUUCAGUCAAGGGUAUAUGAGCACCUGUUCUGUCCUGCCAGAAUCUCCGAAGGAGCUCUCAGUAAAAUCACAAGAUUUUAUUGUGCAUGGUAGCAUGAGCCUGUAAUCCCAGCUACUCAGGAGGCCGAGCUAGGAGGACUGCUUGAGCCCAGGAGU
This is an unclassified non-coding RNA of Homo sapiens (human), 333 nucleotides long. Lineage: Eukaryota; Metazoa; Chordata; Mammalia; Primates; Hominidae. The record is from Ensembl.